RNAcentral lists this ribosomal RNA (375 nucleotides) under uncultured bacterium. RNAcentral describes it as "bacterial SSU rRNA". It matches the Rfam family "Bacterial small subunit ribosomal RNA", at positions 284 to 671 of the family's 1533-position model. The record is from RNAcentral.
UAGCCGGCCUGAGAGGGCGACCGGCCACACUGGGACUGAGACACGGCCCAUAUACAUACGGGAGGCAGCAGUGGGGAAUAUUGCGCAAUGGGCGAAAGCCUGACGCAGCAACGCCGCGUGCGGGAUGAAGGCCUUCGGGUUGUAAACCGCUUUCAGCAGGGAAGAAGCGAAAGUGACGGUACCUGCAAAAGAAGCACCGGCUAACUACGUGCCAGCAGCCGCGGUAAUACGUAGGGUGCAAGCGUUGUCCGGAUUUAUUGGGCGUAAAGAGCUCGUAGGCGGUUAGUCACGUCGGAUGUGAAAACUCAGUGCUUAACACUGAGCCUGCAUUCGAUACGGGCUGACUAGAGUAUUGUAGGGGAGACUGGAAUUCCU